This 491-nucleotide ribosomal RNA is filed under the name uncultured bacterium. Its description in RNAcentral is "partial 16S ribosomal RNA". It matches the Rfam family "Bacterial small subunit ribosomal RNA", at positions 29 to 506 of the family's 1533-position model. The record is from RNAcentral.
AGUGAACGCUGGCGGUAGGCCUAACACAUGCAAGUCGAACGGCAGCACAGUAAGAGCUUGCUCUUACGGGUGGCGAGUGGCGGACGGGUGAGGAAUACAUCGGAAUCUACUUUUUCGUGGGGGAUAACGUAGGGAAACUUACGCUAAUACCGCAUACGACCUACGGGUGAAAGCAGGGGAUCUUCGGACCUUGCGCGAUUGAAUGAGCCGAUGUCGGAUUAGCUAGUUGGCGGGGUAAAGGCCCACCAAGGCGACGAUCCGUAGCUGGUCUGAGAGGAUGAUCAGCCACACUGGAACUGAGACACGGUCCAGACUCCUACGGGAGGCAGCAGUUGGGAAUAUUGGACAAUGGGCGCAAGCCUGAUCCAGCCAUACCGCGUGGGUGAAGAAGGCCUUCGGGUUGUAAAGCCCUUUUGUUGGGAAAGAAAAGCAGCAGGUUAAUACCCCGCUGUUCUGACGGUACCCAAAGAAUAAGCACCGGCGAACUGCGU